Molecule: non-coding RNA, 3526 nt
Organism: Anas platyrhynchos (mallard)
Lineage: Eukaryota; Metazoa; Chordata; Aves; Anseriformes; Anatidae
Source: RefSeq, a predicted model, not a curated record
CAGGUUUAACAGCCUGGAAGAGAUGCCCUCUGACCAUCUGCUCUGAUGGACCACUCAUCCGCCCAUAAAUCCAAGCUUCAGAUGUGAGUCCCCACCUUUAAGGAAAAUUUCCUCAGUCUGGUUCAGAGCCUGGUCACACAGUUUUUUUGGCAGAAACGAGUGGAAAGAGCACUUUGGCAUAGAGGGGAAAUGAGCAACAGAGGGUGAAAGGUGUCUUGGCAGAUACUUCCAGUCUGUGUCCUUAUCUCACAGUGUCCAGCCGUCUUCAAAGACUUCUCCAGUUUCUGGUGUUUUGCAAGUUCAAAAUCUUGCAGCAUCCUGGUACUGAAAAUGUGGGAAUUAACAAAAUAAUUGGAGCUGAAUGACAGUUUUGAAGUUUGCCGCCUCGUGGCCUCCAGGCUGGUGACCCUGGUGCGAGCUGUCGGGCCUUGCGCUGCACACCGCCUUAUCAGCGGGGAGGCUCUUUCGUUUCCAGCUGGGACUUUUGGUCUGGAUUGGAUCCAUCAUGCCACCAGGUCUGAUUGAUGGCCUUAUUGACAAUCGGGUUGACCCUUGUUCGGCAGGCUGACAUGCUCUGUAUUUCACGGGCCGGCAUUUGAUGCGUAUCAAAGAGGUGGUCAGGUCAUCAGAACAGCCAAUUAAAACGAUAAAGAGGGAGGAGUGGAAGAUGAGGUUUUAACUCUUUCCAGCCCAUCAGUAAACAUCUUUAUGAAGCACAGAUAUUGUCUUCUGUCAAAAAGGGUGGUUGGGAGGGAGGCAAAAGCAAAGGUCCACUUAUAUAACAUUUAUCUAUGGGAACUCUUUAAAAAUUGAAUAAGCAGGGGUCAGGAAACAAUUAGCUGUCUAUGCAGUUGUCAGUUAUUUAGAGUCAGGAAUGAGACUGGAUCAAUUUGAUACCCUUCCAUUCUUCCUUUUUUUUUUUUUUUUUUUCCUGAACAGCAUAUUAUAAAGGAGACCAUAAAAUUCAGCAUAGGUUUGUGAGUAUGUAAUAAUACAUGUCAAACUCAAACACUGCCUAAAAGACAAGGAUUUUGUACCAUUGCUGUUGUUACUCGGAGAGGAGAAAGGGACUCCCACUACAGAUGCUGUAGCUGACAGCCAGCAGAAGGUAAUAAAUUCAGGAGCUAUUUAGCAACAGCUUCUGAAUAAUGGUAUCAGAAGAACAUGCUCUUCACACGAGGAGCCUAAUGAGGGAAAAGUGCUAGAGCCAGGGAUUAAGGGUACCAUUGGGAUCACGGGUAAUAAAAGCUCUAUAAUCUGUCAAUGGCUGAUGUUUGUACCAGUGCAGGGUCGGUCACAGUUGCUUCAGUGUUAGUUUGGGAGCUGUCUUUUAAGAUAAUUCAUUCUUUCCUAAGAUGCUAGCAAAAAUGCACUAGAUCCUGGACUUUUUUGCCUCCUGAGCUUUAAUCCAUACUUACACUCAAGUUUCUAGGUACCAGUUUUAAUGGAAAUGCUAGCAAAACAAAGCUUGAAUCAGUUUUAAGUGUAGAAAGGUUACUGUGCGGAACAGUCCAGCACAUCCAGAUUCAGUUCCUGGUUUAGGCAAAGAAUUUCAGGAUGGCAUCAUUUGUGCUAUAGUUGAGUUUCCAGUUUAUAAAUGGAGGGACAACUUCCUUGUUUUCCCAAGAAAGGUGAAAUUUAUGAAAUGUAAUAAUGCUAAGAAUUUAGUUGAUAUCUGAACAUGGAAAGAAAAAAUUGCCCUCCUAUCCCCUGAAAAAAAAGAAGAAAAAAAAAAAACACAAAAAAAACAUGCCAUACCUGUAGUGCUGCAUGCACUCCUCAAAGGUCUUCCUUCACCUGCUUGUACUUGUUCAGUUUUUGCUUUAAUAUCAUAAUCUAACUAAUGUGAAGGCAUUGAAUCCAUUUUCUUACUGUUGGGUAAAUGAUGGUUAAGUGUCAGGAGAUUUAUUUAAUUGUCUCGCUAUUAAAAAAAAAGGUAGGUCUGCUGAGUGAAAGCUUUUAUGCUUUUAAAUGAGGUAUUGUUGUGAUUGGAGUUUAAACAGCAAUGAUUUCCUCAAAAAUGCAUUGGCAAUAAUCACUGGCUUGUUUGAUUGUCCACAUAACUGUACCACCCGCACUGCCAAGAAACUCAUCUGAACCACCAAUGAUAAUAAUAGCUAUUUUUUUCCAUUAAGCAUGCUGCAGAUACAAUAUUCAGGGACAGGAACAUCUUCAUUAGGCAGUACGGAAAGUGAACACAUUGUUCACAAAUCAGCCUCAGGAAUAAUGGACUAGAGAGACUUCAGAGGUGAGGGAUGGAGGCUGUGGGGGCGGGAAAGGGUCUCAGAGCUUCAUGAACCACAUACAGAGAGGAUUUUAGUGGGAUACGGGCAAUUGAUUCCCUUAAGUGUCUUUGAAGAGGCCGGUCUAGGGGUAAAGAAACUCCAGAUGACUCAUUUUAGUAUCUCACAGUCUGGCCACAGUGUCUCAAUCAUUGUUUUACUCUUUUAUAUUUCUUUAAUUAAAAAAAAAAAAAAAUCCAUGAAUACAGAGCUAAUUCAUCUGUCUUAAUCAGAAACAAUGUGAGGAUGACAGCUUUCUGAGGUGAGCUGGUGACGCAGAGGUGAGAAACCCAUUGUUGUACCUGGGUACUGCAGAGCAUCCUAGAUGUCUGUGAAAUGCAAACAAGCCAAAUUAAUUCUUUCUGAAAUUUUUCCAUGGGAAAUCCAUUUCCCUGCUAGCUCCUGUCCCAGAAAUCCGUCCUGUGCCAGGAGCACAGCUCAGGGCUGAGCCUUGCCAUUUGCUGCAUGGGGGGCAGAGGGCCUGGCCUCCACUAAGCACACGGGUGCAGGUGUUGUCUGUCUGUCCUGCUUCAUGUCCUUCCUCUCCUAAUUUCACAUUAACUAAUGGAUUUUGGCACCAAGACCUACAGGUGUCAUCCCCUUGUAGGAUUAAGGCUGACACUUGCCCUGAGACUCAAGCAGGAAUAUCAGUUUCCCCUUUCUCUUUGCCACCUCCUGCCUGGCUGGGAAACCGCAGGCAGGGCCAGCAAGGAGAUCCAGUUUGUCUCUCUGUCAACACACCACACCAGCAAGAGAGAGGCUGUGUGUAUCACUCUGAUGUUCCUUUUCUUCUCCUCUUUGCCCUCAUCAGCCCUAAGUGCCAUUUAGCAGCGUUAGCUGGCUACUCCUCUCUGUUGGACACCGAUUACUCCCUGUUGGAGAGCUGUCAGUGAGGGGAAAGCCAUACAUCGCAGCGGGAAGUGAUCUCACCCAGCAGGGGGGCACCUCUUCCCAGCCAAAACAGCGUGGCUUUGACAGGCUUGAUGUAUUUAUUAUCUUCUUGGUGCAGAAACGCUGCCACAGCAGGCAGCGGCGUUGGGGGCAGCAUGCUACUGGUGACUUAGAAGGGAAAGCAAGGAGAACAACAUGCCAAGAAGCUGUCUGGAGGCAGCUGAUGGCAGGGUGCAGGAAGGGGUAAGGAGAGCAUGAAGGAAAGGAAAAGACUAUUGAAAAGAAAAAAGAAAACAAUUCCUUGUACUCGUGUUUAACUCAUCUCCUUAACUCCAGGGAGUCGAGAGGGCAGA